AGUUAAUGAGCUUGUUAAGUAUAUAUUUUGAAAAUAUAAAAAAGAGGUUUAACCCCUCUAUUAACUU
RNAcentral lists this transfer RNA (67 nucleotides) under Ceutorhynchus cf. asper XHL-2023. RNAcentral describes it as "tRNA-Ser". Lineage: Eukaryota; Metazoa; Arthropoda; Insecta; Coleoptera; Curculionidae. The record is from RNAcentral.